CACCAGCGCCUCGAGUGAUACCCACGAAUAUUGGGCCUAAAGCGUUCGUAGCCGAUCCUGUAAGUCCGCUGUGAAAUGUUGGGGCUUAACUCCAACGCGUGCAGUGGAUACUGCGGGAUUUGGGAGUGGGGGAGGGAAGAAGUACUUCUGGGGUAGCGGUAAAAUGCGUUGAGCCUAGAAGGACUUUCAGUGGCGAAGGCGUCUUCCCAAAACACGUCCGACGGUGAGGAACGAAAGCUGGGGGAGCAAAUCG
RNAcentral lists this ribosomal RNA (253 nucleotides) under uncultured archaeon. RNAcentral's name for it is "partial 16S ribosomal RNA". It matches the Rfam family "Archaeal small subunit ribosomal RNA", at positions 474 to 726 of the family's 1478-position model. The record is from RNAcentral.